This 340-nucleotide unclassified non-coding RNA is filed under the name uncultured Mortierella. RNAcentral describes it as "sequence contains ITS2". The stretch from base 1 to 52 matches the Rfam family "5.8S ribosomal RNA", at positions 103 to 154 of the family's 154-position model. Lineage: Eukaryota; Fungi; Mortierellomycota; Mortierellomycetes; Mortierellales; Mortierellaceae. The record is from RNAcentral.
AACGCAUAUUGCGCCUUCUGGUAUUCCGGAAGGCAUGCUUGUUUGAGUAUCAGUAAACCUCAACUCCUUUUCUUAUGCGUGAGGGAAGGGGUUGGAUUUGAGCAUAUCCACCGGGCCAUGUUGGCUUGAGGGAUGCUUGAAAUGGAGGUUCGGCCGACAGUGCCUGGGCUACAAGCAUUUCAUACUUAAUCCCGUUAAACGGAUUAUAUCCUUUGCUGCAGCCAACAUACAGGGUAACUGUCAGUGUUCCGACUGAUGCAGGAAAGUUGAGAUGGGUUCUUCGGAACCUGGCUCUUCUAAACUCGAUCUCAAAUCAAGUAAGACUACCCGCUGAACUUAA